GUGAACUGGGGUCAGCCAAUGGAGUCACAUCUGCAUUUUCUGUUGACUGUAAAGGUGCUGGUAAGAUUUCUUCUGAAAGCUCAAUGAACUCCAUAUAGGAUACACACAAGAGAUCCACAAAUAGAUGAAUCAUAGUAAAAAUGCUGAAAGCCAAAGACAAGGAGAAGAUCUUGAAAGUAGCAACAGAAAAAUAACUGAUUACUUAAAGGGAACUCAAUAAGAUUAACAGCUGAUUUCUCAGCGGAAACAGUAGCCACUAGACGGUAGUGGCAUAACAUGUACAAAGUGCACAAAGAAAGAACUGUCAACCAAGAAUUUAUAGCCAUCUAAGCUAUCUUUCAAAAAAAUGAAGGCAGGGAACCGAUAUGGCGACCGAAGGGGAUGUGGAGCUGGAGUUGGAGACUGAGACCAGCGGCCCAGAGCGGCCUCCCGAGAAGCCAUGGAAACAUGACAGUGGUGCGGCGGACCUCGAGCGGGUCACCGACUAUGCGGAGAAGGAGAUCCAGAGUUCCAAUCUGGAAACGGCCAUGUCUGUUAUUGGAGACAGACGGUCCCGUGAGCAGAAAGCCAAACAGGAGCGGGAGAAGGAACUGGCAAAAGUCACUAUCAAAAAGGAAGAUCUGGAGCUGAUAAUGACAGAGAUGGAGAUCUCUCGAGCAGCAGCAGAACAGAGCUUGCGGGAACACAUGGGCAAUGUGGUAGAGGCUCUUAUUGCCCUAACCAACUGAUAUAUGCUUUCUCAGCUAUACCUUCUGUAUUAACUUAUAGCAAUAAAGAUAUUUUUUGUCUUUUGCAGUUUAAAAAAAAAAAAUGAA
Non-coding RNA from Microcebus murinus (gray mouse lemur), 815 nucleotides. Lineage: Eukaryota; Metazoa; Chordata; Mammalia; Primates; Cheirogaleidae. The record is from RefSeq and is a predicted model, not a curated record.